Molecule: long non-coding RNA, 208 nt
Filed under: Brassica napus (rape)
Lineage: Eukaryota; Viridiplantae; Streptophyta; Magnoliopsida; Brassicales; Brassicaceae
Description: long non-coding RNA (BNAP_LNC020506)
Source: RNAcentral
CCUCUCUCUCUAUACGCCACCACUUUUUCCUAGUUACCUCUUCCGCAUUCGGUGAGCUGACUGUGCAAUAAGAAGCUUCCCUUCUAUUUUUUUUCAUUCAUAUGUUGUUUUUCACUCACGUUUUUUCUAUCUCACCGACUGGUUUGGUGACUAGAUCAGAGGCGUCGUUUGUGUUGUGGUGGUCUUCCGGUGGUGCUAGGGUUUCAAC